Molecule: ribosomal RNA, 202 nt
Filed under: uncultured bacterium
Lineage: Bacteria
Description: partial 16S ribosomal RNA
Rfam family: Bacterial small subunit ribosomal RNA
Source: RNAcentral
AAGGCUGAAAUUACGCCUUCAUGAAGCUGGAAUUGCUAGUAAUGGCAGGUCAGCAUACUGCCGUGAAUACGUUCCCGGGCCUUGUACACACCGCCCGUCACACCAUGAGAGUUGGAAAUAACCCGAAGCCUGUGAGCUAACUGUAAAGAGGCAGCAGUCGAAGGUAGAGCCAAUGAUUGGGGUGAAGUCGUAACAAGGUAAC